This 237-nucleotide ribosomal RNA is filed under the name uncultured bacterium. RNAcentral describes it as "partial 16S ribosomal RNA". It matches the Rfam family "Bacterial small subunit ribosomal RNA", at positions 524 to 761 of the family's 1533-position model. The record is from RNAcentral.
UACGUAGGUGGCAAGCGUUAUCCGGAAUUAUUGGGCGUAAGCGCGCGCAGGUGGUUUCUUAAGUCUGAUGUGAAAGCCCACGGCUCAACCGUGGAGGGUCAUUGGAAACUGGGGAGACUUGAGUGCAGAAGAGGAAAGUGGAAUUCCAUGUGUAGCGGUGAAAUGCGUAGAGAUAUGGAGGAACACCAGUGGCGAAGGCGACGUUCUGGUCUGUAACUGCACUGAGGCGCGAAAGCG